Molecule: long non-coding RNA, 1919 nt
Filed under: Linum usitatissimum (flax)
Lineage: Eukaryota; Viridiplantae; Streptophyta; Magnoliopsida; Malpighiales; Linaceae
Description: long non-coding RNA (LUSI_LNC008136)
Source: RNAcentral
GCGUUAAACUCAGCACGAGCAGCUUCAAUCUCAGCAUCCUUCUCAACAAGCUUCGCCUCCAUUGUUUAUUUGAUUUCGAGCCUCACCGAGUUCUCAGCCAACACCUCCUUCAACGUCUUCUCAAACCUACACUUAUAGAAAGGCAAUUGAAGUAUUUCCUGAACUUCAUUGUCAUUAGUCUCAAUGCACAAAAUCCAUAAUCGCAUUUCAUUUCUUCUCCAAAGUAAGCGAAAAAAUCUUUUGACUCAUCGGGACGGUGUAACUUUAACAACAUAUUCUCUUUGGAAUUUCUUGAAGACCUUUUCACAAAGAGAAGGAAGUGAGGGACACAUACAUUGGUAGGAUGGUGAGUUGUUUGACCACAAACUACACGAUUUAUAUAGGCUAAAAAUAGCCGUUGGAUCGAUUCUACAUUGUACUGCACGUCGUAGGAUGUGCGACGCAUUGUAGGUUGAUCCAACGGUUAUAUUCAAACGGUCAUGUAACGACCGUUUGAAUAUAGCCGUUGGAUAUGCACCAUAUAGUGCAACGCGUAUCCUGGAACGGGCGGCGCAUCCUACGGUGCGCGAUGCGUUGUAGGAGGCUGUAAUGGCCAUUUCGUGUAAUUAAGGUUCCACUUGAUUGUCUACGUAAUUUCCGAUUAAAUUGUACCUACAAAAAAAUGUUCCUAAACUGAUUUAUACUACUUAGAGCUCUUCAACUCAUUUAUUCUAACUAUCUCCUACGAAAUUUUUGUUUUUUAAUAUUUUUCAUCAUUUUUUUCCGAGACUAGGUUUUUCACAUCUACCUCCUUUUUUUUUGAAUUUUGAAUUUUUUUCCUUUCCUCUUUUUUUUUCUCAAACUAAAACUGUACAGAAAAUUAAAACUGAGUGAAAUAAAUAAUCCUGCAUUUACUCAAGCUUAGUAACUUUAGAUUUUUCUAGACUCAAACGAGUUACAUGCCACUAAUAUACACAAUGAAAAAAACUGAAUGCUUAAAAGAAAGGGGAUAUGGUAUAAUGAGGGGGCAAAAAUGCUAUUUUGAGAUUUUAUAAGGGGUAAAAGGGGCAAGAUGGAGAUUUUAGUGGUGGAGCUUUUCUAAAGGCCUCUAUCAUUUUGAUGUGUUGCUACAUAGCGAGUUCAAUCCGUUAUCAUGCAAGCAUUAAAUUAACAACCAACACCACUCAAAAUAAUUUAAGAAUAAGUCUACUAGUGAAGCAUAAUAAUUUUACUAUAAAUGGUGUUAAAAAAAAAAAUAAGUCUACUAGUGAAGCAUAAUAAUUUUACUAUAAAUGGUGUUUAAGGCCUCGCAAUUGUGUUGCUAGAUGGUAUAUUGCUAAUAUGCAUGUCUGUUAACAUCAAGUUGGAUAUUGUGUGUUACUAAGAAAAAAUCAAAGCACCUCUAAAAACAAAUUAUUAGACUUUGAACACUGGCAUAAUUUCCUAUCAAAUCUAAGUUCAGAAAGCAAACAAGUAGUUCAAGUCAACAAAUCAUUCGGAAGUUCACUAAGCAUGCCAAGCAAUUUUUUCAAAAGUGCUUCUAAAACAACUUGAGUUUAGGAUUCAACAUCAGAAAAAAUGACCAAAAAAACUAUCUAAUAGGUUUUCUAUACACACCUACCCCACACAGAAGUUAAACAACGUCCUUACUAGUCUGAAUAAGAAAGUGUUAUAGGUAUACUUGAAAGUUGUGAGAUACCGGUGAGGCAAGAUAACACGAUCCAAAGGAAGCUUGAACUUGACGAUGAUACUAACUCCUGAAAAUGACUGAAAACACAUAAAAAUCAAAAAUAAAAGUAAAAAGGAAUAAAGACAAGUGUCCAAUCAAAGCUGCACAUAGAAAAAUGUGGAUUUAAGAUCCAAAAAUAAAGAAAAGAAAAACCUUAAGGAAAGAUGGUACCUGGAUUACUAGUCCUCUCGCGGAGGCGAGUCUAGAGGGU